UUAAAUCUGAUUAGUUAUUCAAAACACUGCUCCGCUCCGUUAUGCUCCGCCUUAGUAGAAUCCGGGCAUAAAUAAUAUGUGUUUGAACUCUAAAUGAUUAAAAGCAAUAUUAGGUGCCGUUACACCAUAUCUAUGACAUGCAUUACAAUCAAUUUGAUAUACCUACUUGAAAAUGAGUUCAACCGUCAAUAUAAAAGUGGAGAGAAAUAUCAACAGCCUCAAUUUCUAAACUGGACACAAUGAAACUAUUAUCCUGCUUCUUAUUGGUGACCACCAUAGGCCUGGCCUGUGGCUUUGCCUACUAUCCAGCGCCACCGCCACCGCCACCGCCGCCGAGUCCAGCGCCUUUGUGCAGUUGUACUCCGGCACAUCUAUUACCAUAUGAGCCGUUGUGUGGAAGCAACUACAAGACCUACCCCAACAAAUGCGAGUUGGGCUGCGACCAUAGCCAAGGUGUUGGCGGUAUAUUUGUACUGUACAAAGGACCCUGUGUGUCCCAUUAUCCUCCCCCUCCCCCACCUUUCCCGGGGUCAAUACCAAUUGGGAGCCCACAAACCGCGGGAAGCCCUGCCUAUUAGGCAGUUAAAUUGAUUAAAUUAUAAAAAGAACAUGAAAUGUUCGUGAUCUAUAUUUAUUUUUAUGUAUUAAAAAUAUAUUGUAUUUAUGUUCAUUUUUUGUUUUAAAGUACCUAUGCAUAGCUUAGUUUUAUAUUUUAUGGCGCUGUGCAAUUUUUUUUACAUAUUUAUGGGGUUUAAAAUAAUUGUUGAAUUAAAGUAUAUGUAUUUAUAGUU
Ostrinia nubilalis (European corn borer) is the source of this 791-nucleotide long non-coding RNA. RefSeq lists it as uncharacterized. The record is from RefSeq and is a predicted model, not a curated record. The transcript is spliced from 2 exons. Lineage: Eukaryota; Metazoa; Arthropoda; Insecta; Lepidoptera; Crambidae.